AGUACAAUUGACUUCCAAUCAAUCAGCUUCGGUAUAACCCGAAAAAGAA
This 49-nucleotide transfer RNA is filed under the name Haringtonhippus francisci. Its description in RNAcentral is "partial tRNA-Gly". The record is from RNAcentral. Lineage: Eukaryota; Metazoa; Chordata; Mammalia; Perissodactyla; Equidae.